RNAcentral lists this microRNA (21 nucleotides) under Arabidopsis lyrata. Its description in RNAcentral is "aly-miR862-5p". Its record names the gene aly-miR862-5p. The record is from miRBase by way of RNAcentral. Lineage: Eukaryota; Viridiplantae; Streptophyta; Magnoliopsida; Brassicales; Brassicaceae.
UCCAAUAGGUCUAGCAUGUGC